CCCUUAGAUGUUCUGGGCCGCACGCGCGCUACACUGAUGCAUUCAACGAGUCUAAAACCUGCUCUGAUAGGGGUGGGUAAUCUUUUGAAUGUGCAUCGUGAUUGGGAUAGAUGAUUGCAAUUUUUCAUCUUCAACGAGGAAUGCCUAGUAAACGCAAGUCAUCAGCUUGCAUUGAUUACGUCCCUGCCCUUUGUACACACCGCCCGUCGCUCCUACCGAUUGAAUGAUCCGAUGAAUAUCAUGGAUUGAGGAUGUAAGCAGGUUCGCCUGUCUUCAUCUUCGAGAAGUGAAGUAAAUCUUAUCAUUUAGAGGAAGGAGAAGUCGUGACA
RNAcentral lists this ribosomal RNA (329 nucleotides) under uncultured eukaryote. RNAcentral describes it as "partial 18S ribosomal RNA". It matches the Rfam family "Eukaryotic small subunit ribosomal RNA", at positions 1470 to 1796 of the family's 1831-position model. The record is from RNAcentral.